RNAcentral lists this ribosomal RNA (508 nucleotides) under uncultured bacterium. RNAcentral describes it as "bacterial SSU rRNA". It matches the Rfam family "Bacterial small subunit ribosomal RNA", at positions 28 to 528 of the family's 1533-position model. The record is from RNAcentral.
GACGAACGCUGGCGGCGUGGAUUAGGCAUGCAAGUCGAACGGUAUCAUCCUUUCGGGGGUGAGAGAGUGGCGAACUGGUGAGUAACACGUAGGUUAUCUACCCUCAAGACGGGGACAACCCAGGGAAACUUGGGCUAAUACCGGAUGUGAGCAACUUUUAGUUGUUUGAAAGGUGGCGUAAGCUGUCGCUUGGGGAUGAGCCUGCGUCCUAUUAGUUAGUUGGUGAGGUAACGGCUCACCUAGGCAAUGAUAGGUAGGCGGCCUUAACGGGUGGUCGCCCACACUGGGAUUGAGAUACGGCCCAGACUCCUACGGGAGGCAGCAGUCGAGAAUAGUCUACAAUGGUCGGAAGACUGAUAGUGCGACGCCGCGUGAACGAUGAAUCCCUUCGGGGUGUAAAGUUCUUUUAUAUGUGAGCAGUGCUUCUUAUAUUAACAGUAUGGGGAGAGAGAUAUUAGCAUAUGAUAAGCAACGGCUAACUCCGUGCCAGCAGCCGCGGUAAACUCGU